AUGUUCCCUGACUCUCAGCUGCUGCUGUUGGCAGCGGUCUCCUGUGUACAAUGUGGUCUUAAGCUCACCGAGCCAAGUUCAAUUGUUAUAAACUCUGGAGAGUCUUUGGUAAUCACCUGUAAGGUCUCUGGGUAUUCUCUGACUGGUAGCACCAACCUCUAUGGAGUAUCAUGGGUCCAACCUGAAGUCAUUAUACCAGAGUGGGUUGGGAACAUCUAUCACGAUGCAGGCACAGCUUACAAAGAUUCUCUGAAACACAAGUUCAGCUUGACCAGAGACACUUUGAGAGGCACAGUGGCCUUAAUAUGA
Non-coding RNA from Salvelinus sp. IW2-2015, 309 nucleotides. Lineage: Eukaryota; Metazoa; Chordata; Actinopteri; Salmoniformes; Salmonidae. The record is from the annotation of a RefSeq genome assembly.